Molecule: small RNA, 239 nt
Filed under: Scedosporium apiospermum
Lineage: Eukaryota; Fungi; Ascomycota; Sordariomycetes; Microascales; Microascaceae
Description: A. fumigatus sRNA Afu_309
Rfam family: A. fumigatus sRNA Afu_309
Source: Rfam by way of RNAcentral
UCUUUCAAUACAAUCACGGAUCUGUUCCCAGCUUUCCUCCUGCACGUUCGCGUGUUCAGCUGUUGAUCGCUGGGGAGGCUCGAUCGUUCCUAAGGAGCCACCACUAGUCCCCAUGGUGCCAAUCAUCCGAUCGACAGAUCCCAGACCGACCAACUUUAUUGUUUGGGGCAGCUAUAUUCCAACCCUCUUUUCCGAGAUCAUUGAUCCGUGAGGUAGGGGAAAACCAUCCUGCCACAUUU